GCCCCAAACAUCGCAUCAUCAUCCAUGUCACAACCAUAUCCAUAUGUCUCACAACUUUUCAUCCUAGGCUCCAAUUUAUCCCGUCCCCGCACAUUAGACACCUCAACACAUUGAUCCCUAUAAAAUUCAUUCAAUUUCGAAUCCAUCCUAUUUAUUGUAUCUCUGUAUCUCCAAGUAAUUUCUCAAACAUCCGCACCAUCCUUUCAGACAUUGAUUUUGUUUUCAAUUGGGUUGUGUGAAAAUUGUG
RNAcentral lists this long non-coding RNA (247 nucleotides) under Olea europaea (common olive). RNAcentral's name for it is "long non-coding RNA (OEUR_LNC015061)". Lineage: Eukaryota; Viridiplantae; Streptophyta; Magnoliopsida; Lamiales; Oleaceae. The record is from RNAcentral.